This is a long non-coding RNA of Peromyscus californicus insignis, 1535 nucleotides long. RefSeq lists it as uncharacterized. The transcript is spliced from 2 exons. Lineage: Eukaryota; Metazoa; Chordata; Mammalia; Rodentia; Cricetidae. The record is from RefSeq and is a predicted model, not a curated record.
GGGAUGUGAGUCUUUAGGCUUAAGGGAAAGAGUGAAUUUCGCUUAAGGUAUUAAGUGCUGGUGCUAGAUUAAGUAGGUGAGGCCAACCCUGAAGCGCAUACCCUUCGGUGUACCACCAAAUGGAAAAGAAGGCGCGAGAUCAGUUGGUGGGAGCUGGAUCAGCGGUAGGCUUUCUGAAAAGCGCCUGGGCUAACUGUGACCCCUGAAAGAAACUGAAGAGAUGCAGUCGAAGGGCGAGUCUUUCCUGGAAAAGGCUGCCCACACCUCUUCCUCAUCUUAAUGGUGGAGUCCUAGCUCUCCAGGGGGAAUUAAGGAAUUUCCUCAACUUGAGAAUUUCUCGGGGUUGUGAUGCACCACCCCAAUGAUAUUCUGGAUGCCUUCAGAAUGCUGUCCGAGGAGAUAUUCAGCAAGCUGUCAUCUGUAGGAGCUUAGUAGACAGCAACACCUGGGACCUGGGUAAGGCCUACAAUCUAGGUGGAGUCACACUCUAGCACAGAGCCAACAAUGUAUUCAUGAGACUCACCAGGGAUCUGAUUUUUUUUUUUUUUUUAAGACAUGGGGUCUUUCUACAUAGUCCUGGAACUCACUACAUAGACCUGGCUGACCUUGAAUUCACGCGGAUUCACCCGCCUCUGCCUCCAAGUUCUGGGACUAAAAGCCUGUGCCACCACGCCCUCAAGCUCAGGAAUCUUAAGUGCAAGAACGGGAGGAAAGCACGCCGGCUAGGAAAGGGGAAGGACUAGAUUCCGUUUCAUGUCCCUUCCCAGUCCUCCUUCAGCUCCAUUACUUCCUUAUUUUCCAUCCCCCCGGUCGAUGGAGAAGAAAAUCCUUCAGGAAAAAUGUCUUAGUCCGCGAAAGAGAAGAGCUGGGUUUAUGAUGGACCGUUGAAGCUAUGGAAAAGCAACACUUGAGAAAGACCCUUCUGGAAGGAUAGGAAUAAGGAACUCUCUCAUUGGCGCUGGCGUUUUCUCUCGCGUGUCUGGACAGGUUCUUCUGCAGCCUCCGAUUUUUAUCGACGACCGACCUUGCCGCCCUUCGAGACCCAUCUUGGCCGCCAGUCCUGAGAAAAGAUCUCUCAGCCGAGAGAGGAGAAGUGGGUCUGACUGCCAUUAGCUAACUGCGGCUUCUCAGUCUGUUAAAGGGGUGGAGGGACAAGACUCGCAGGCACCCGGAGCCAGCCACAGGACGGAGGGUGACUGCUGGAGGUCUGCGUGACCCGCGCUACUACUAACCAAACAGAAAUGGAAAAAAGAUUCUGAUUCUCAACAGAUAAUCCUAAGUUCUAGAGUGGGGCUGAGCACUUAGAAAUCAGGCUAGUGUCCUCCCGUGUGGUAGUUUCUAAAGCACUGGAACUUUUGGUACAGUUAGAAGUCAUAGGAAAACAGAAACCUCGCCUGAGUUCACUGUUUCAGCCCCAGGAUGUAGAACCAGGGUCUGCAACCUAACAGAAGCUUGAUCCUAAACUCCUUGGGGACAGUGAUGUGUUUUCUGUGGCGGCUCUUAAGUCUUUAAUUACAGGACCCUCCGCAUUUGUU